CAGCCUGAUGCAGCCAUGCCGCGUGUGUGAAGAAGGCCUUCGGGUUGUAAAGCACUUUCAGUCGUGAGGAAGGUAGUGUAGUUAAUAGCUGCAUUAUUUGACGUUAGCGACAGAAGAAGCACCGGCUAACUCCGUGCCAGCAGCCGCGGUAAUACGGAGGGUGCGAGCGUUAAUCGGAAUUACUGGGCGUAAAGCGCAUGCAGGUGGUUUGUUAAGUCAGAUGUGAAAGCCCGGGGCUCAACCUCGGAAUAGCAUUUGAAACUGGCAGACUAGAGUACUGUAGAGGGGGGUAGAAUUUCAGGUGUAGCGGUGAAAUGCGUAGAGAUCUGAAGGAAUACCGGUGGCGAAGGCGGCCCCCUGGACAGAUACUGACACUCAGAUGCGAAAGCGUGGGGAGCAAACAGGAUUAGAUACCCUGGUAGUCCACGCCGUAAACGAUGUCUACUUGGAGGUUGUGGCCUUGAGCCGUGGCUUUCGGAGCUAACGCGUUAAGUAGACCGCCUGGGGAGUACGGUCGCAAGAUUAAAACUCAAAUGAAUUGACGGGGGCCCGCACAAGCGGUGGAGCAUGUGGUUUAAUUCGAUGCAACGCGAAGAACCUUACCUACUCUUGACAUCCAGAGAACUUUCCAGAGAUGGAUUGGUGCCUUCGGGAACUCUGAGACAGGUGCUGCAUGGCUGUCGUCAGCUCGUGUUGUGAAAUGUUGGGUUAAGUCCCGCAACGAGCGCAACCCUUAUCCUUGUUUGCCAGCGAGUAAUGUCGGGAACUCCAGGGAGACUGCCGGUGAUAAACCGGAGGAAGGUGGGGACGACGUCAAGUCAUCAUGGCCCUUACGAGUAGGGCUACACACGUGCUACAAUGGCGCAUACAGAGGGCAGCCAACUUGCGAAAGUGAGCGAAUCCCAAA
RNAcentral lists this ribosomal RNA (907 nucleotides) under bacterium 'H. scabra 58 (S-F)'. RNAcentral describes it as "bacterial SSU rRNA". It matches the Rfam family "Bacterial small subunit ribosomal RNA", at positions 379 to 1278 of the family's 1533-position model. The record is from RNAcentral.